GGGUGACGAUUUUUCAGGGCGGAACCAAAAGUUGAAGAAGUUUGGUUCCGCCCGGAUGUUUCCGCCCCGACCGGAAAAACAGAAACACCGGACAUCCGGUGGCUCCGCGAAGGCUGUAAUCAGCCGAUUGGGCACAGCUGUGCCUAGUUGAAGAGAUCGCCGAGUAAUUGGAUAACUGGAGUACAAAGAGGAGUAUAAAAAGCGCAGUUAGAGGACAGUUGUGUUCGUUGUUAGUGUGUGCUGAGGAACGGAGCUGUGCUCAUUGUCAGACGUGGUGACUGUCUGUAUUUCUCUCUCUCUCCCUCUCUCACUGUAGUUGACGGUGGACCUGCUGGAGUAAACGGAAAAUCCGAUGAGUAGAAAGGAACUUUGGUUUAACCAGUACUUUUGAAGGAGUAAAGCAGGAAGAAAACUGACCUUGUUGUACAACGUAAACAAAGGCUAUCCGCUGUGAGUAUACUUGGUUGGUGUGGAGUAAACUGCAGAGAUUAACCUGUGUGAUCGUUGGAGUCCUCGAGGAGGAAACGGGCGGCCCUGCCCCUAUAAUAGCGUGGUGGGCGAGCCGCUGGAAGCAUAGAUCCAAAACAGCACAGCAACGAGACUUUAUUUCGGUCGUGUUUGCCAUCGCCCCUAUUUAGCCCAAGCGCAGUGGAGGACACCGGGCGCUUUUCCUUGUGGUGUUGCACUUAUAGCGUGACGAAGCCCCGUACAUCCAUCUUCUCUACUGGGCAGAGGACGGAGGGGCUAACGACCUCAGAAAUUUCUGCUACCAUACGCUGUGUGCUGUUUCGGAGGACGAAGGGACGCGGACCAAGAGCUGUCCAGGGCUGUGAGUGAAGUAUUGGAAGUAUUCGUGGUGUACACUUACCUGUGUCUGUCUUUUGUCGCAGAGUCAGAGGCGAAAGAGUCCGCCGCCCCCGCGGUCCCUACAAAGGGGCGCCCCUGUCCAGGAUUCGAUCAGCCUACGGGCAGUGGAGAUAGGGCAGCGCUCGACCCGGUGAGGUGGUGUGUGACCUUCGCCCCUCUGCUGACCUACGGAGAAGAAAAAGCCAUACCUAUCCAGAAAGCUGUAGGUAGCAGAGCCGGUGAGAAAUACUUGAAGUCUCAGUAACAGUGCCUUUGUGUCCUAGUGGCCACCUGUGGAGAGAGAGAAGAACGAGAGCGAAUAAUUGAAGAACAGACUGUGAACGUGAUACCUACCCAGAAAGCUGUAUGCAGCAGAGUCGGUGAGAAAUACUCGAAGUCUCAGUAACAGUGUCUUUGUGUCUUAGCGGCCACCUGUGGAGAGAGAGAAGAACGAGAAUGAAUAAGUGAAGAACAGACUGUGAACGUGAUACCUACCCAGAAAGCUGUAUGCAGCAGAGUCGGUGAGAAAUACUCGAAGUCUCAGUAACAGUGUCUUUGUGUCCUAGCGGCCACCUGUGGAGAGAGAGAAGAACGAGAGUGAAUAAUUGAAGAACAGACUGUGAACGUGAUACCUACCCAGAAAGCUGUAUGCAGCAGAGCCGGUGAGAAAUACUCGAAGUCUCAGUAACAGUGUCUUUGUGUCCUAGUGGCCACCUGUGGAGAGAGAGAAGAACGAGAGUGAACCAUUGAAGAACAGACUGUGAACGUGAUACCUACCCAGAAAGCUGUAUGCAGCAGAGUCGGUGAGAAAUACUCGAAGUCUCAGUAACAGUGUCUUUGUGUCCUAGCGGCCACCUGUGGAGAGAGAGAAGAACGAGAGCGGAUAAUUGAAGAACAGACUGUGAACGUGAUACCUACCCAGAAAGCUGUAUGCAGCAGAGUCGGUGAGAAAUACUCGAAGUCUCAGUAACAGUGUCUUUGUGUCCUAGCGGCCACCUGUGGAGAGAGAGAAGAACGAGAGUGAACCACUGAAGAACAGACUGUGAAUGUGAUACCUACCCAGAAAGCUGUACGCAGCAGAACCGGUGAGACAUACUCGAAGUCCAAGUAACAGUACCUUUGUGUCCUAGUGGCCGCCUGAGGAGAGAAAGGAGGACGAGAGUGAACAAUCGGAGGACAGACGGUGUAACGCGCUACCUACCCCGAGAGCUGUAGGCGGCAGAACCGGUGAGAAGCAUACCAAAUCCACACUAACCGUGUUUCUGUGUCGCAGUGAACACCUGCGGGGGACGUGAAGGCACGUGGGGCGAGGACCCCCUGCCGGACCGAGGAAAGGUUCACGGACAGUGGAAAAACUCCUACCAGUCACACCGAAAUUGUUCUGCCUCCAGGAAAGAAGAAGGAGGGCGCCACGGUUAACAGGGUCCAGGCCGGAGCCUGACGAUUCCCUCUUUCUCCCGGCUUAUGGUGAUUGACACCCCUGUUGCCCUUGCCCCUGUUUGCCCGUGGCUGCAGUCUCCCUGGAGGGAGGAGAAGAAGCCUAUUAGUUUUAAAUCCCCCUUUCCCCAAUUCCCCAGUUCUUUUAAAUAUUUAAAUUCAAUAAAGCUUGUUUUAAAUUUUA
Misgurnus anguillicaudatus (oriental weatherfish) is the source of this 2467-nucleotide non-coding RNA. The record is from RefSeq and is a predicted model, not a curated record. NCBI's taxonomy places the organism in Eukaryota, Metazoa, Chordata, Actinopteri, Cypriniformes, Cobitidae.